Homo sapiens (human) is the source of this 12366-nucleotide long non-coding RNA. RefSeq lists it as uncharacterized. The record is from RefSeq and is a predicted model, not a curated record. NCBI's taxonomy places the organism in Eukaryota, Metazoa, Chordata, Mammalia, Primates, Hominidae. The transcript has 2 exons.
GGUGAACUCCUCUACCUUAAGCAGAAUGAUGUGGCUGUUGUUCAGAACUGCUGAGAAAAGAAUUCCCACUUUGACCUGGACAUGAGAUGACUGCACAGGUGUCUCCCAAGCCUAAAGUCCCAGAACUAAAUUCAGCAUUCAGUUACCAUAAAAACCUUAUGUCAGGUGUUGCUUGGUUUUGUUUAGUCUAUAUUCAUUUUUCACUGAACAUCCUGUCACUGUGCCAAGGACUAUUCCAAGCAUGUACAGUCCAGUUGUGAACAAGAUAGGCAAGGUCCCUAUCCAGAACUCACACUAGUGGGGCAAACAAUAAUCAAGACAAUAAACACUGAAGUAAGAUUAUAGAAUCUAUAGGUCUAUAGAUUCUAUAGACCUAUUCUAUAGACCUAUUCUAUAGGUCUAUAGAUUCUGUAGACCUAUUCUAUAGGUCUAUAGAUUCUGUAGACCUAUUCUAUAGGUCUAUAGAUUCUGUAGACCUAUUCUAUAGGUCUGUAGAUUCUGUAGACCUAUUCUAUAGGUCUGUAGAUUCUGUAGACCUAUUCUAUAGGUCUGUAGAUUCUGUAGACCUAUUCUAUAGGUCUGUAGAUUCUGUAGACCUAUUCUAUAGGUCUGUAGAUUCUGUAGACCUAUUCUAUAGGUCUAUAGAAUAGACUUUGCAUAUUCUAUAAAAAAUGUAGAAGAGGUGCUCAGGAAGACCUAUCUGAGGAGGUGCUGUUUGAGCUGAGACCUAAAGACAGGAUGGAAUCAGUAUGGGAAAAUCUGGGAGAAGAACCUUAUAGGCAGAAGUAACCACUCAGGCGGAAGCCCUAAGAUUAAGAUAGGCAUGAACUUGUGUAAUUGGAGUAGAAUAAGCUCUGGGGAAGGUGUAGAGAUGGACAGGGCUUGAUCAUGCUGGGUCUUUUAGUCCUUAGUAAAUCCUUGCUAAGAAGGUAUGUUACCCUCUUUUUACUUAUGAGAAAGAUAACGUUUGGAAGGGCUAAGUGGCAUGCCCAAGAUCAAGUCAAGAAUAAAACUUAGGUCUUCUGACACCUGCUUCCCAAGCCAAGGUUUUUCUGUUUGCCAUUCACUCUCUGAAUUUCCUAACUAUUAACCCAAGUUAUUUUUGGAUGUAAGAUAUAAAAUUAGUGUAUAAAUUUGAAAGUCAAUGAUGUAUCAUCUCUAGGUGUUAAUUUUAGAGGCUUUUUAGUAGAUGUUAAAACGUCCACUUCUUGGCUGACAGUUAUGACAACAUAACUUGUUAUUUGGUCUACCCUUUGGGUGUCCUUAUUUACCAAAAACUUAUAAUUUAAUAAUUGAAUCCCUGGAUUAAAUGUAUGGUUGUGCUAGCAGGGGUGGUCUAUUUCUUGAUUUAUAAGACACGUUUCUUUUUUAUAGCUAUUUUACAGUAUUUGAUGUGUUCGAAAAUCGUAGUCUCUUGGUUGGCAUAUUGCACAAGCAAAUAUUUGUGUACCAUAGCAUCUAGGGUAUUUACUUAAAUUGCUUUUUUGGAAAAUAAUUCACUGGAAAGUCCAAAAGGCAUUUACCGCGUAUAACUUUCUGCCACAGUUUUUUUUUCUUUGCUCUGUCAUUGGUUACUUUGAUGUAGGGGACCAUGUUUCUGUUAAAUUGCUGUCUUACUAGAGUGAAAUAUGUUUAGGUUCUGAUUUGUACACUAACGUUGAAUUGGAGGAGCAGUUUGCAAAAUUUGAGGGGGAAUAGCAGUAGAGAUUUAGGUUGUGGGUAUUAAGCAUUAAAUUUUUUUAAAAAAACAUUAAUUUGCUUUUUAAAUGUGACUUUAUAUCAUGUUGUCUUCUUGACCCUAAAAUUUCCUUACUUUUCCUUGUCAGUAUGGCAAAAAGAAAGAGAGAGUACAGUGGUAUUGCUGAAAGCAGUUAAUGGUUUUUGUCUUGUGAAUUUAAAUAAUAAAAUGAAAAAUGUUCACACAAAAUUAGAACUUGCUUUAGGGCACAAUCAAUAUAGCAUUUUAACAAGCUUAAUGUAUUUGGAAGAUAUGUAUUGUGUGAGGUUCUCAAACAUACUGAUUCUAUUACGACGGUUAACUGUAGCAGCAAAAUGUAUCAAUAUACUUAGCCAAUAAACAUAAAACUUAUUAAAUCAUAAUUAAAUUUUCAGAAAAGUUAUCUAAAAAUUAUGAAUAAAAUAUAUUUUACAUGGCCUCAGCAACAAAAUAUAUAGCCAAUGAAACUUUAUAAGUGGUGGGGUAAAAUACAUGGGAUAAAAUUAUAGAAUGAAUUUUUACCAUAGACACAUGUACCGAGUUAAGUUUGUGUACACCAUUUGUUUCUCCUCUCUUUUAACUUCUUUUGGAGGUAAUUCUUAGUGAGUAUUUGCAGAGCACAACAGCUGGGGUAACUGACCGAAGGGGCAAAUGAGAAGUUUCCCUGCUCCUUUGGAGUCUCAAGUGAAAUGUUUCAAAGCCCUACCUGCCCUUAUACGUGGAAGAUGCCAAGAGGUACUCAGAGUCACUGUGGUUGCAUUUACAUUUCUACAGUGGGCGCCAAUCACAAGCUUCAUGUUAUGGCCCCAGCUGUGUGGGAAUGUAGCUGAGCACACUAGGUAUCGUCAUCCUCAUUUGAUUUAUGAAGAAAUGGAAACACAGAUAAAUGAAUGGAUUUCCCUGAGGAUUCAGACCAAGUCAAGGAUAAGAUCACCACUGAAACCCAGGCUUUUUUAAUUCUUAGUCCUUUCCCAAUGCCAUUCCUGGUAAAUAAUUACAUUUUGGCUCUAAGAGGAGCUAGAAUAAACAGAAUAUAUGCAAACCUAAGAAUUUCUGCCAGCAAUCUCUAGCAGAUAUACUUCAGCUGUACUUUGAAUUUUUAUUUUGUGCACCAGGCACAUGUAUCUUGUAGAUGACCAAUAUGAACAAACAGCUGUCUCCCUUCCUCCCUCCUUCCUUGGAACGUGUAAUCUCUGAAUAACUGAUUAGCUCAAUGUCAGAAAUGUUUGUGCUGAUCUCUGAACCUCAGUCAGUUCAACACAUGACUCCCUGGAAAUUUUAUCUUUGGUUUUCUUUUUUUUUUUUUUUUUUCACUGCCAUGAUUUUGUGAGUUAGUUUAUGAGUGUAUUUAAAUCAUUUCUGGAAUCUAAAUAUUUUGGACUUGCUGGUCUUUAUAAGGAAGUUAGUUUCCCUCCUCUCACAUAGACCUCUUUCUGCUUUCUCCUAUCUAUCAUAUUUUAAGAGUAUAUGUGACACCGUUAAGUUUUAAUCUUCUAAAUGGAUUGGAGAAUAACACCUUCCCUUGACUAACCUCAAAGGAUUUUUAAAAACAGAAUGUUGCCUAAUUUUUGAGGGAGAAUGUUCUAACACAGUUUAUAUAUUUUUGUAACUCAACAAAGGUAUCUCAUAAAGAACAUUGGUGGAAUUGGGUUUUAAAGUCCAAAUACUUUCCUUCUGUUGUCCAGAACAUAGCUCCUCAACCUAGAGGCAUAGUGUCAUGUGCAGUGAAGUCACUCAAAUUCCUUCUUAUUAUUGGUUUGAAGAUGACUGUCCCUGGAUGGUAUAAGAUAUGAUGGUAGUUUGUGUCGUUCAGUUUUUACGUUAAAGGAAAAAGUCUCUCCUGGUUUCUUUUGACCCUAGUCAUGAUAUGCCCAUUUCAUGAAGUCUUUUAUGCACAAAAGUGCACAAAAUGAAGAUAAAGUGCCUCUCUCCAGCCUGACAAAAGCCAUUUCUUUGCAGAAUGGUAGCUGCAGCGAAAGUAAAUAAAUGAAUGGACAGCAAUCACAGCCUAGUUGAUGAAACUGUUCAAUUAAAGCACAGGCAUUUACAUGGUGUAAUUUCCCUAAAUUGCCAAUGAGCCCCUUUAGACACAACCAGUGUUCAAAUUGAUUUCAGCAUUGAUUUUGGCUGAAGCUGAUAAAUUUCUGCUUGUUAGUUAAAGUAAUUUUGCAGAAGACUUUGUACUGCAGUAUUGAAGUGUUCAUUUAGCUGAUAGUUAAAAGAGGAGUUAUUUACAGAGGCCUCUACUGUUGUUCUGAGAUGGGACAAUUCCCCAAUCAUCUUUUACUUUUAAUUUUUCAGGCUUCAGUAUACCAAUCAAUAGGUGAUUGAAACUGAUUAAAACUUAUCCAACCAGCUGCCUAUGGCAGUUUAAUUAGAAGCUGGAUGAUUCUUAAAUUAAAGUUGUCUUAUUUUCAUUGCAAAGCCAUCUUCCAGAAGAGUAAGGCAAGAACAGUGCAGAAAACUUAAAAGACUGGCUUUGCUAAGGUAUCUUGCAAAUGUUAAAUCACUCAAUAGCUAUUCCUAAGACAAUUCAAAAAUGUAUCAGAGAGUUUGCUUUUAUGGAGAUUAGAAGUAAUAACAUGCUUACUUGCCAGCCAAGGAAUGUUUGUUUCAUUCGGUCAGAGAGAUUACCUAUUGUAUAAUGAUACAUGUGAAAGACCAGCUGUUUGGGAUAUAUCUAUUAUCUCAUAAGCAAGAUGAAUGCUUGAGCUUAGUUUUAAACACUGUAAUGCAGGAUGAAACUAGCCAUGAUGAUAUCCUCUGCAUCUGCCCCCUGGAAACCAUCAGCUUUGAAUUUAUAUUUUUAUUCUGUUUUGAGGUCUUGAUUAAAAUAAAUCUCCAUUGAAUGAAAAACAAAUAUUUUUAUAUAAGUUCAUGUUGACUUGUCAACAGUAUUGUGGGCAGGAUUAUAGAAGAGAGAUUUUUGCUCCUCUUCAGCUCCCUAGGGAAGCUUCUCCAUACUCAUUUUAUCUAGUGUGGACAAUUUCUUGAGUUUUUAAUGGAAACGGGUUAAUAUUUUUGUCAUAGGGGACAUAUUACAUCUGAUAUUACGGGGAAGAAGGGAAGAAAUGGCUCACUUUUCAGAGGUGCAUUUACUCUUUGACCCACUAGGGUACUAUUUAGUGUUCUAGAAGAGGUAAUUUAGUAAAUUGUACCCCAGUGGCCUGAAAAAGUUAAUGCAACUCUGAAAAGUGAGCCAUUCAAUCGAUUUUCCCUAUUGCUUUUAAAAAAUCAACACUGACCAUAUCCAGAGAAUGUUGAAGACAACUGAAAUUAGAGGAUCUAGAAGCAACCAGUUUAUUUUCACACAAAGCUUGUUGGGACAUGCACUGGAUUUGGCUUCAGAGGACCCAGAUCUACUUCCCACUCCAGUACUUACAGAUAGGAAUCGUGAAGCAUUCAGUAACCUCACCAAGCCUUGGUUUCCUUGUCUAUAAAGUGGUGAUAAUAAUAAUAUUUACCUCACAAAUUUUUGUGGAAAUCAAAUAGCUUUACUAUAUGUAAAAUGUUUUAUAAACUAUAAAGCACAAUAGAAUAUUAAUUAUUAGAAUAAGGAGGUUUUCUGAAGUAGCCAUUUAUGUAUCUGAUUUUGGAAAGUAAUUUAUUGUUAGUUUUCCCAGAAACUGUGAGCAAAGAUUAGAUGGUUAUCACGUUGUUUCAAGAGAGAGUUUCCUAGCUAGUCAAUCCUCAGGGUAUUUCUAUUUUCCCCCACAUAUAUUGCCUAACAAUUCCAGUUCUUUCAUUCCUUCUCAUCAUUAGGCUUUAUAUCUCUUGCUUCUCUGUUUGCCCACUACAUUAUUUCAGAAUCCUUGAUCAAGAGAUCAGAAUGACUGUAGUUUCCUUGAUCUCAGAGGUAUUUAGACCAUAUAUUAAAAGACAUUACUCUAGUUGAUGUGGAGAGUGUUAAAAGCUUGAAUCAGGCCACAUCAACUUGUGGAAGAAAUAUGGAGGUAGUGAUGACCACAUUAACUCUGAGGCAGGUAUGGGAGUAAAAAGGGGUAUAUAGCCGGAGUAAACAGAAAGAAGAAAUGGCAAAUGUAGAGUUACAGUAGCUUUCUCUUAUUGAAAAUCUUUCUAAUCUAGCCAAGUUCCCUAUAUCAUUCAUUAGGUUGAUUUAUGAGCCCUAUGUACAAUCAGUUAUCUUGAAAUUAAUAUCUGUGACCUCAUAACAUAUUUGACUUGAGACCUAAACAGUAUGAGGGGCUCUGUUUUUUUUUCUUUCUUUCUUUCUGAGACAGAGUUUUGCUCUUGUUGCCCAGGCUGGAGUGCAAUGGUGUGAUCUUGGCUCACUGUAACCUCUGCCUGCCUGGUUCAAGUGAUUCUCCUGCCUCAGCCUCCUGAGUACCUGGGAUUACAGGCACGUGCCACCACGCCCUGCUAAUUUUUGUAUUUUUAGUAGAAACAGGGUUUCACCAUGUUGGCCAGGCUAAUCUCGAACUCCUGACCUCAGGUAAUCUGCCCGCAUCGGCCUCCCAAAGUGCUGGAAUUAUAGGUGUGAGCCACUGUGCCCGGCCUGUUUCUUAACCACAAAUUAUUUUGUAAUCAGUAGUCAAGCAUCUGUAAUAGGUUUUUAGGCAGAAAGAAGGUUGGCAAAGACUGCUAUUUGAACUAGUAUAGUUUACAUAAAAGCUUCUUUUUACAACUGCUGUUUACUUUGGAUUUCCUGUUUUAACAGCUAGAGCCUGGCUAAUGUGUUUAUCUAUUAUGGAAGGCAACAACUGUCAGUGUUGAUUUCCCUGAAACUAUUUGAAGUAUUUCUGUGGAUGGCUACUUUAGUAUGUGACAGAAUACUAAAAUUUCGAAGCUUGGCCAUUAGUCCUAAACGUGUUAAUAAAAUCUACCUUCAAAUAAACCUAAAAAGACCAAGAAAUUAGAGGAUUAAAUUUUAAUUUAAAAAUUUAAAUUUAUUUAAUUUAAAAUUUAAAAAUUAUAUUUUUCAUUAGCUGAACCACAGCUGGUUUACAUUUAGUUACUGAAACCAUAUCAUUGCAUUAAAAGGUGACAUCUAGAGGGUUUUAAAAUUAAUCUCGCAAGGUACUAAAAGAUUUUUGUUUGUGUCAGUAUUUGUGUACUCAUGAGCUUUAUACAGCAGAGAAGCGUUCUGCAUGUUUUGUAUUGGCUUCAGAGUUGUUCAGCCUUAUAAUCUUUUGGGAAAAUGUAAUACAAUCAACUCUCAGAUUCCUUGUUUUAAGUAGGAGACUUAUAGUCUCAUGUGGGUAUCUCCUAAUAGUUUAACCCCCUCGAUUUCUACCAUCUUCUUUCUUUUUGUUUUAGUUUUCCUUUGUGCCAAUGCUAUAAAGUCUUUGAAAUGGAAACUUCUAAGUUGAGGAAAGACUUGUAUCUUGUUAUUCUAAAUUUACAUAAAAGCAGGGGCUUUUUUGGUUAAUAAAUAAAAUGUCACACAGAGCAAAGAAGCAUCAUCUGUAAGAAUAGAAGCAUCAUCUGUAAGUAUAGAAACUGAUGAUCCUACAGUAUAUUAGCUUUAACCAAUGCCAUGUUUUAAUAAGGAAGUAGAUUUAAUAAUUGAACCUGAGUGAGACCAACUCUUAACUUUCUGUGCCAAUGAGGAGAAUUAAGAAUUGCGUUUUAGACAAUGAUUUAUUUGUCUUGUCUCGAUCAAACUUUUUCAUAAUGAAUCAGAUCUCAGAGAGCUUUCUUUUCCUUUGUCUUUUUACCUCUGCCAUGUCUCUGAUGGACGUCCUAUAAAUCCCUAGGGCAUUCAGAGAAUAGAGAAUCAGGGAAUACAGGAUAUCUCACAAGCUGUGAAAUCUUUGCAUGGAAAACAAAGAACUGAUGUUAUUAUUUGAGAGAGUGAACUAUCUCUGCAAUGAGCUAAUAACAAAUACAUUUGUAACUUUUAUUUAUUUUAAAAUAGCCUUUGUUCACCGUUUUUCUUGUCUUCUACCUGUUCUCUGAGAGACAUAGGGAGCAAAAUAACCAUCACUUUCUUUCUUGCUUACCUAGAAUAAGACCAUCUCUUUUUAAUUACUGGUUAUUUCUUGAGCCAAAUCCUAACCAUUGCUUUCACUAUUUUAGUGACUGGAUUAUUUUCUUAGGUUUCCUAUCCAUUUGGAGAACCUUUCAACAAUUGAUAACACUCUAUAAAUAAUUCACAGAGUAAUUGUGUCCCUCUUUUCACUAACCUUCUUUGAAGUACGUUAUGUGAGAAGUAGAAUUUAAGUCAGUAGCAUUUAGUUCAUGUGGUUAAUGAAGGAAGUGCCCUGUGUCCUUCAUAGAACAGUGGCAAUACUAUCAUUUCAGUGUCCCUGUGUUGCCAUUAUGAAUAAAAGUCAUUAUACAUGCAAUUACGCUCCAGGUCUUUUCUCCAAGAGGCAAAAAAGGGGUAUUUCCGUGCUCAUUUUGAUAACUAUUUUGCUAAUAAAUUGACAUUUAUGACAUAGGAUAUUGUCAGUUAUGCUGAAAUCUGAAAUAUUUAUAGUAAGAUUAUAGGCCAGCCUCCCCCAUUCUUUCUUUAAUUAUAUCCUACCUCACAAUCACUAGGAAAGCACAUAUGCUCCCUAUUAUAAAUUCUUUCUGCUCAUAAUUUAAAAUAAUUUGAUUGGAAUAUGUUUAGAACUUAAUAUGCAGAAUAGUACCAUAGAAAAUAGAUGCCUACUUUAAUUGUAUGAGAUUGUACCAGCUUUAUCAGAAAAUGUAUGAUCAGCUCUAGGUUAUUUAUUUUGUGAACAAGAGUCAGCUGGGAUGAUUCAUAUUUUUUGGUUCUCCUAGAAUUUGAAAUUCUAGGCAUAAAUAAUUUUAGUAAACAUGGUAAAAUCCAGAUGCAGUUGAUCUUAUGCAUGGCAUAAAUUUGUGUGGGAGUCCAGAUGUUGGAAUGUGAACACAGGUUGUUUCUCCCUUCUGUCUUGUGUGGACUUUUUAACAUGUUAUUUUCACAUAUUUAUUUUCCUUACUUUUAUUUAUUUUUUGAUACAGGGCCUCACUCUGUCACCUAGGCUGGAGUGCAGUGAUACGAUCAUGGCUUACUGUAGCAUCAACCUCCCAGGCUCAAGUGAUCCUCUCACCUCACGUCCCAAGUAGCUGGGACCACAGGCAUGUGCCACCAUGCCCAGCUAAUUUUUUUAAAUUUUUUGUUGAGAUGAGGUAUCAUCUAUGUUGCCCAGGCUGGUCUUGAACUCUUGGACUCAAGCAAUCCUCCCACCUCAGCCUCCCAAAGUGUUGGGAUUACAGGUGUGAGCCACUGUGCCCUGCCUAUUUUCCUUACCUUUAAAGAUUAUUCUAGAAAUUCAGUUUAUUCUUUGUAAUGAUGUAUCUUUUAAUAAAUUCGCAUUAACAGUUUAGAUGAAGGUGAGCACACCUCUAACCUUUUAUGUAUUGUACUAGACUCAUCUUUAACAUUUCAAGGAGUAAAUAAUAUAAUCAGUUGGAUUUAUCCCUAAGUAUUGCUUUUGAAAUCAGUCACAUGUUUUCUGAACACUUUGUGCAAAGUACUUCGCUUGGCAGUGGGGGAGAUAUAACAUCAACUUUCAUGGCCUCAGGGACCCCAUUCUUUGGGGUCUGUUGUUAGCUUACUGUUUGUACCUUCUCGUCUCCUUUACUGUUUUCUUCUCAUCUUUCUGACCUCUGAAUUUAGAGAGCCUCAGUUCCAGUCCUUACACCUCUUCUCUGUUUAAUUCACUUCCUAAGUGAGCGUGUGUAGUUCCAUGGCUUUACAUAUCAUCUGUAUGCUGAGGAAGUCCAGAUGUAUGUCUGUAGCCCUGGCCUGUGUCCUGAACUUCAGACUCAUAUCUGAUUACCAGUUGGAUGUCCUCUAGGCAUUUCAAAAUUAUCUAAAACCGAGCUCUUUAUUUCUUUGGAAACCUGCUUCAUUUACAGCUUCUCCCAUCUCCGUAAUUGGAAACUCUAUUCUAUAGGAUGCUAAGGACAAAAACUUUGCAGUCUUUCUUCCUCCUUCUUUUUCUCUCAGAUUAUGUAUACCUUUACCCACAAAUCUUGUGGGUUCUUCCUCAAAAAUAUUUCAAGAAGCUGACCACCUUUCAUCACUGUUUUCUUGCUACCCUAUUCAAAACCACUAUUACUGCUUGCUAGGAUUUUACUGCAAAAGCCUCCCAACUAGCCUCCCAGUUUCUAUCCUUGCUUUCCUGUAAUGUGUUCUCUUCACUCAGCAGCCAAAGUGAUCUUUCUGAAAUAUUAGGUCUCCCCCUCUGCUCAUGACCUCUUAUAUCACUUGGAAUAAAAGUCAGAGUCCUCACCAUGGCCUAAAUGGUGCUACACAGUCUGUUUUCCUUACCUCUCUGACCUCAUCUCCCCCAGCUAGCCCUCUUGCUUAUUCUACUUCUGCAUACAUGUCAAGCACACAUUUCCACCUUGGGCUUUUGAACUUGCUGUUUCCUCUACCUGGAAUCCCCUUCCCCUAGAUGUCCGAAUGGUGUGCCCCCAUACUGCUCACAUGUAACCUGAAAAGAGAGGCAUUUCCUGACUUCCUCCCCAACCCUAAUAUCAAAUAGCAUGUCCCUAAUGUUGAUCAGUCUCUAUAUCCUUACCUUUAUUUUUUUCAAUGCACUUACCCCCACCUCACAUAUUGUAUAUUUAUUUGAUUAUUGUCAGUCAGCCCCUAUUAGAAGGUAAACUUCACAAGGGCAGGGACUUGGUCUCAUUUGUUCUCUGCUGUAUCCACACUGCCUAGCUUAUUGCCUGGCAAUCAGAGACAUGCAUUAAGUAUUAAAUAUAAAAAGAGGAUCUAGGAGGAGAAUAUAUCAUAUACUGUGGAAGAGGUCAAGCAUAUAGUAAUGAACAAAAUGGACCCUGACCUUCCCCUUGAAACUUACAAUAAAGUAGAACAUAACAUAGACCCUAUAUUAAGAAUUUACAGCAUAGUUAGGUAAUUAGAGUCUACAAUAUAGUUAAAUAAAGUGAACACCAUUUCUGUAAUCCCAGCACUUUGGGAGGCCAAGGCAGGAGGAUCACUUGAGGCCAGGAGUUCAAGACCAGCCUGGGCAACAUAGUGAGAACCUUGUUCUACAAAAAAUAAAAAUAAAAAUUAGCCAGCCAUGGCGGUACUCUCCUGUAGUCUCAACUACUCAGGAGGCUGAGGCAGGAGGAUCAUUUGAGGCCAGGAGUUCAAGACCAGCCUGGGCAACAUAGUGAGACCUCCGUUCUGCAAAAAAUAAAAGUAAAAUUUAGCUAGGCAUGGUGGUUCGCUCCUGUAGACUCAACUACUCAGGAAGCUGAAGCAGGAGGAUCACUUGAGCCCAAGAGUUCAAGUCUGCAUCGAGCUAUGAUUGUCACACUGUACUCCAGCCUGAGUGAUAGAGUAAGACCCUGUUGCUUAAAAAAAAUAUACUAGUAGGCCAUGUGCAGCGGCUAACGCCUGUAAUCCCGCACUUUGGGAGGUUGAGGCGGGUAGAUCACCUGAGGUCAGGAGUUCGAGACCAGCUUGACCAACAUGGUCAAAUGCCAUCUCUACUAAAAAUACAAAAAUUAGCCAGGUGUGAUGGUGGGCACCUGUAGACCCAGCUAUUCGGGAGGCUGAGGCAGGAGAAUCGCUUGAACCUGGGAGGCAGAGGUUUCAUUGAGCCGAGACUGCACCACUGCACUCUAGCCUGGGUGACAGAGCGAGACUCUGUCUCAGAACAGAAACAAAAACAAAAAACCACUACUGAUAAAGUAUAUACCUGUGAAUUUAAAUAACUGUUGAAGAGAAAUAGUAAUUUAUAACACGAACAUAUAAGGCAAUAGAGUAGUUGAUGCCAAUAGAUAAAUGAAACCACAGGGUAGGAAAUCUAGUAGGUAGGGAAGUAAGUAGAAAUAAAAGAAUGGAAUCCAAUUGAAUUCAGGAAGGAAUAACAUGAAAGAAGAAAUGGUGACCAUUUAAGUAAAUCUGACUGUAUAAGACAACGAUAGUAAUAAUUCAAAAUGAAGUUAAAAAGACUGGAGAAAAUAAUAUGUUAAGAUGAGAAGGGCUUGAUUGAAGUUAAAACAUUCUAAGAUUUUUAUAUUGUUUAGGAGAAGGAUAUAGAUAACAAUUAACUUUAUGUUUUGUUAAGUCAGGUAUGAUUGUUAAAAAUUAUACGGGUAACUAAAACAGUGAAUAGAAUGUGUAACUUCAAAACAAAUAGAUGGAAUAAAGGGAGAAUAAUUCAGUAUAAUAGAGGAAGAGAAGUCGAUAGGUGUAAAGUAAAUGAAUUAGGUGGUAGAAAUAAAUCCAAAUAUAUCAAUAAUUACAAAAAAUAUAAGUAGAGUAAUAUUAGCAGCUAAUAGGUUAGGUUGCAUUUUUUAAAAUACAGUUAUGUGCUAUUUUAGACUGUAUUGGGAGAAAAUUUAAAAUACCAAGACACAGCAAAAUUGAAAGGAAAAGGGUAGGGGAAGAUACCUGGCAAAAACUAAUCAAAAGAAUGCUGCUACUGUGGUUAUAUUAACAUAAGACAAAAUAGACUUUAAGGCAAAAAGUAUUACUAGAGAAAUGUUAUGAAAAUACAAAUAUUUACAACUGAACCACAAAUACCAUGUAUUAAUAUGAAAACUCCUGAGAUGCACCAAAGUAAUUCUUAAAGGAUAGGUUUAUAUACACACCUUAGUAAAGAAUAACUGGGUAUGAUAUGCUUAGAAUCUAACUCAAGAAAAUCAAGAAGGUGGGACAGGGAAUAAACCCAAAGAAAGUGGAAGGAAAGAAAUACUAAUGAACAAAA